RNAcentral lists this ribosomal RNA (1960 nucleotides) under human gut metagenome. RNAcentral's name for it is "bacterial LSU rRNA". It matches the Rfam family "Bacterial large subunit ribosomal RNA", at positions 1 to 1990 of the family's 2925-position model. The record is from RNAcentral.
UUAAAUGAAUAAGGGCGUAUGGUGGAUGCCUAGGCAUGUAGAGCAGAAGAAGGACGCAGCUAACGGCGAAACGCGACGGGGAGUGGUAAGCACACAUCGAUCCGUCGGUCUCCGAAUGGGGAAACCCAGCGCGAGUAAUGUCGCGUUACCCAUGAGUGAAUACAUAGCUCAUGAGGAGAGAACCCAGGGAAUUGAAACAUCUUAGUACCUGGAGGAAAAGAAAAUAACAAUGAUUCCCUUAGUAGCGGCGAGCGAACGGGGAAGAGCCCAAACCAGCCUUAGGGCUGGGGUAGUAGGACCACGACGUGGUACAGUAACCGAUAGAAGAAGGACAUUGAAAGGUCCGCCAAAGAGGGUGCAAGCCCCGUAAUCGAAAUUGGGAGCUGACCUAGUGGAAUCCUGAGUACGGCGAGGCACGUGGAACCUUGUCGGAAGCAUCCGGGACCAUCCGGAAAGGCUAAAUACUCCUACAUGACCGAUAGUGAACCAGUACCGUGAGGGAAAGGUGAAAAGAACCGCGGGAGCGGAGUGAAAUAGAACCUGAAACCAUAUGCUUACAAGAAGACAGAGCCCGUUAAGGGGUGAUGUCGUGCCUUUUGUAGAAUGAACCGGCGAGUUAUCUUAUCGUGCGAGGUUAAGUGGAAGACACGGAGCCGAAGCGAAAGCGAGUCUGAAUAGGGCGGGAGUACGAUGAGAUAGACCCGAAGCCGUAGUGAUCUAGCCAUGACCAGGUUGAAGUUUGGGUGAAACCAAAUGGAGGACCGAACCGACCCCCGUUGAAAAGUUGGCGGAUGAGUUGUGGCUAGCGGAGAAAUUCCAAUCGAACUCGGAGAUAGCUGGUUCUCCCCGAAAUAGCUUUAGGGCUAGCGUCGAAGUAAGGGUAGUGGAGGUAGAGCACUGAAUUCAUGAUGGCGCCGUCAAGGUGUACUGAAUGAAAUCAAACUCCGAAUGCCAUUAUGUCAUCUUCGGCAGUCAGACUGUGGGUGAUAAGGUCCAUGGUCAAAAGGGAAACAGCCCAGAUCAUCAGUUAAGGUCCCAAAAUUACCGCUAAGUGGAAAAGGAUGUGGGGAUGCACAGACAACUAGGAGGUUGGCUUAGAAGCAGCCACCCUUCAAAGAGUGCGUAACAGCUCACUAGUCGAGUGACCCUGCGCCGAAAAUUAACCGGGGCUAAGCGGUAUACCGAAACUAUGGCAAUGAUGUAAAUCAUUGGGUAGGGGAGCGUUCCAUGGGCGUUGAAGCUGUACCGUAAGGAGCAGUGGAGCGCAUGGAAGUGAGAAUGCCGGUGUGAGUAGCGAGAUGCAGGUGAGAAUCCUGCACACCGAUAGACCAAGGAUUCCAGGGGAAGGUUCGUCCGCCCUGGGUAAGUCGGGACCUAAGGCGAGGCUGAAAAGCGUAGUCGAUGGAAAACAGGUUGAUAUUCCUGUACCCGCGCAUCGAGUGAUGGAGUGACAAAGAAGGCUAACCGGACCGGUGAAUGGAUUCCGGACCAAGCGAGGUAGGAGGCAGUCAGGCAAAUCCGGCUGUCAAUCUGAAGGCGUGAUGGGGAGUGAACAGCGCGAGCUAAGUAGCGAAGACGGCGAUGCCAGCUUUCAAGAAAAGCUUCUAGCGCUAAUCGAUGAGCGGCCCGUACCAAAACCGACACAGGUGGUCAAGGCGAGAAGCCUAAGGUGAGCGAGAGAACUGUUGCCAAGGAACUCGGCAAAAUAGCCCCGUACGUUCGCAAGAAGGGGCGCUCGAAAGAGCCGCAGUGAAGAGGCCCAAGCAACUGUUUAACUAAAACACAGCUCUCUGCAAAGUCGCAAGACGAAGUAUAGGGGGUGACGCCUGCCCGGUGCUGGAAGGUUAAGAGGAUAUGUUAGUCGCAAGACGAAGCAUUGAAUUGAAGCCCCAGUGAACGGCGGCCGUAACUAUAACGGUCCUAAGGUAGCGAAAUUCCUUGUCAGGUAAGUUCUGACCCG